AGGGCCAGCUCUGGGACCAGACUAGCCUGCUCAGGGCUGGGUCCAGGUGGGUCCUGAAAACCUCCAAGGACGGAGCCUGCACAGCUCCGCUGGGCAACCUGCUCCACUGCCUGCCUGUCCUCAGGGUGAGAACAUUUUUCCUUAUAUCCAGCCUGAACCUCUCUUGUUUCAACCUGUGUCCACUUGUCUCUCAUCUUUCCACUGCAGGACUGGUUCUCCCAGUUUGGUGUCCUCUGCAAACUUGUUUGAGACUACUUUAUUAAAUAAAAUGCUUGUAAAAAUGUCAGGGAAAUUACCUACCCGUAGGAGGUUUCUUGUACCUUCUUCUGGCUGCCGCUGCCAUACUAGAUUAGACAGGCUAUGGUUCUUGCAGUCUUUUCUAUCUAGUUCGGCCCUGCAUUGCCUACCAGCAGUGUUCUGGCUUAAGAAAAUUGGAUGAGAAGCUCUAGAGAUUCUGUACUUUAACCAGCUAAAACGGUAACAAAUGAAAGAUAUGUGGACUGAGCAAGCAAAGGAGUGGUUUUCCCAAGAGAAGCAAAAGCAUCAAAAUGCAGUUUCUUUAUAAGGACUUUUGUUAUGGCAGAAGCACAUUUAAUGAGAAGGAGAAGAGUCAUCUUUCUACACACACUAUAUAUAACUUUGUAAACCUUCCCUUUGAAGUAUUUGCAUGCAACUUAAGCUGUACUCAAGAAUCCGUGAAAGUCUUUUCAAAGAAGUUAACUUUUUAAUGAAAACAUUUUCAUAAUACAGAAGUAAAAGCAAAAAUUCGACUUUUCUCUAGGUCUGAGUAGAUUUUACUGAAGUGAAACAAAAAGAAAUCCAGGAAUUGGUCAAAAGUCUGUUUUUAGUGCAGGUGUAAUUUCUUGUGGUGGAGAGGAGGAAGGAAGGAAAAAGAUCAGGAACUGGCAGGGAGUUUAUCCCUUCAAGCUUGUGGUCUGAUUAGAUGGGGAUAAAAACCUGCAGUCAGAGGGAGCAUAUUCAGAAAAUAGCUGAAUUCUGCUAAGGAUAGUAGUGGUUGAUGGAGGGCCGACUAGGUGGCAGUUGGUUGACAUAACAAGGGACAAGUUGCUGAAGAUUUCCAGGGCUCAGUCAGUGUGGAACUGGAAAAAGGAGGAGGGGAGUGAGUAUAUAAAUCAAUGAAGCAGGGAAUAUGCAUUUUCCAUCUCAGACAGACCCAACACUCUCUUAAUAUAUUAGGCAGCUUGAUACCCAUACUAGAUUACCAGCUGCAAUGCAGAUUUUUACUUUUUUUAAGGGAGAUGAAAGAAUUUGGUAAGAAAAUGUGCAAGUAACUACUUCAUUGGUCCUGCCAUUCUGUAAC
Molecule: long non-coding RNA, 1321 nt
Filed under: Dromaius novaehollandiae (emu)
Lineage: Eukaryota; Metazoa; Chordata; Aves; Casuariiformes; Dromaiidae
Description: lncRNA (ENSDNVG00000008024.1)
Source: RNAcentral